RNAcentral lists this ribosomal RNA (216 nucleotides) under Glomeromycotina sp. Its description in RNAcentral is "partial small subunit ribosomal RNA". The stretch from base 40 to 216 matches the Rfam family "Eukaryotic small subunit ribosomal RNA", at positions 686 to 864 of the family's 1831-position model. Lineage: Eukaryota; Fungi; Glomeromycota. The record is from RNAcentral.
GGGUCAGUAGGUUGGUCGUGCCACCGGUACGUACUGGUCUCACUGAUUCCUCCUUCCUGAAGAACCGUAAUGCCAUUAAUGUGGUGUUGCGGGGAAACAGGACUGUUACUUUGAAAAAAUUAGAGUGUUUAAAGCAAGCUGACGCUUGAAUACAUUAGCAUGGAAUAAUGAAAUAGGACGAUCGAUCCUAUUUUGUUGGUUUCUAGGAUUGACGUA